RNAcentral lists this transfer RNA (72 nucleotides) under Chrysochromulina tobinii. RNAcentral's name for it is "Chrysochromulina sp. CCMP291 tRNA". It matches the Rfam family "tRNA". Rfam says of the family: Transfer RNA (tRNA) molecules are approximately 80 nucleotides in length. Their secondary structure includes four short double-helical elements and three loops (D, anti-codon, and T loops). The record is from Rfam by way of RNAcentral. Lineage: Eukaryota; Haptophyta; Prymnesiales; Chrysochromulinaceae.
GGGAUUGUGGUCUAGUGGUAUGAUUCUCCUUUCGGGUAGGAGAGGCCCCGAGUUCGAUUCUCGGCAGUCCCC